RNAcentral lists this long non-coding RNA (685 nucleotides) under Arachis ipaensis. RNAcentral describes it as "long non-coding RNA (AIPA_LNC000627)". The record is from RNAcentral. Lineage: Eukaryota; Viridiplantae; Streptophyta; Magnoliopsida; Fabales; Fabaceae.
UAUAAAUAGCAAUGGUUUAAUUAAGCAGAAGUUUGCUUUUUGGGGGUGUGGUUUCUAAUUUCUACUCUCUUCUAUAAAAGGGAAGGUUCUAGUCAUUGACCUCUUAAAGCUUUUUCAUCCAUGGCUACCAUCCAGUCGCAGUCCGAGUCAAAGGUCCAGCCCAAGUUUACGGUGUCCACAUCAGCAGCGAACGAGAGCGUGAACGGCGGGGUGCCGGCGAUGGGAAGAGGACAGUGCCUGUGCUCUCCAACGACACAUGAAGGGUCGUUCCGGUGCCGUUUUCACCGGUCAUCAGCAACAGGAACAGGAUAUUCCUUCAGCACUCCACGGUCCAAGUCCAUGGCUGCUGAUAAGGAUGGCGUUUCUGUGUAACCGCUGUAAUACUACUUACUUAACAUUCUGUGUUUAUCAUCAAUCCUUUCUGUAUGUUAUUCCAUCACUUCAACCUCUGAUACUCUGCGUUAUUACUGUUUUGUAAAUCUACUCUCUCUUCCUAAUUAUAAUCAACAAGGAAAGGAUUCUGUUUGAUUUCAACACAUACAAUCACUUUUCAUAAUCCUUCCAAAUCUGUUCAUUUGUAUGUAUACUUCAAAGCAGCAAUGGUCCAUAAUAAUACAUGAAAAAUGGAUCGAAGUAGGUAAUUCUAAGAAAACAGAGCACGGUAUUCUAGUACGAUUAUGUUAGG